GAUGAACGCUGGCGGCGUGCCUAAUACAUGCAAGUCGAGCGAACGGACGAUAAGCUUGCUUCUCUGAUGUUAGCGGCGGACGGGUGAGUAACACGUGGAUCACCUACCUCUAAGACUGGGAUAACUUCGGGAAACCGGAGCUACUACCGGAUAAUAUUUUGAACCGCAUGGUUCAAAAGUGAAAGACGGUCUUGCUGUCUCUUAUAGAUGAAUCCGCGCUGCAUUAGCUAGUUGGUAAGGUAACGCCUUACCAAGGCGACGAUGCGUAGCCGACCUGAGAGGGUGAUCGGCCACACUGGAACUGAGACACGGUCCAGACUCCUACGGGAGGCAGCAGUGGGGAAUCUUCGGCAAUGGGCGAAAGCCUGACGGAGCAACGCCGCGUGAGUGAUGAAGGUCUUCGGAUCGUAAAACUCUGUUAUUAGGGAAGAACAGAUGUGUAAGUAUCUGUGCACAUCUUGACGGUACCUAAUCAGAAAGCCACGGCUAACUACGUG
This 497-nucleotide ribosomal RNA is filed under the name uncultured bacterium. RNAcentral's name for it is "partial 16S ribosomal RNA". It matches the Rfam family "Bacterial small subunit ribosomal RNA", at positions 28 to 507 of the family's 1533-position model. The record is from RNAcentral.